RNAcentral lists this ribosomal RNA (253 nucleotides) under uncultured Luteibacter sp. RNAcentral describes it as "partial 16S ribosomal RNA". It matches the Rfam family "Bacterial small subunit ribosomal RNA", at positions 524 to 776 of the family's 1533-position model. Lineage: Bacteria; Pseudomonadati; Pseudomonadota; Gammaproteobacteria; Lysobacterales; Rhodanobacteraceae. The record is from RNAcentral.
UACGGAGGGUGCAAGCGUUAAUCGGAAUUACUGGGCGUAAAGCGUGCGUAGGCGGUUUGUUAAGUCUGCUGUGAAAGCCCCGGGCUCAACCUGGGAAUAGCAGUGGAUACUGGCAAGCUCGAGUGUGUCAGAGGAUGGUGGAAUUCCCGGUGUAGCGGUGAAAUGCGUAGAGAUCGGGAGGAACAUCAGUGGCGAAGGCGGCCAUCUGGGACAACACUGACGCUGAGGCACGAAAGCGUGGGGAGCAAACAGG